This 241-nucleotide ribosomal RNA is filed under the name uncultured bacterium. Its description in RNAcentral is "partial 16S ribosomal RNA". It matches the Rfam family "Bacterial small subunit ribosomal RNA", at positions 529 to 769 of the family's 1533-position model. The record is from RNAcentral.
AGGGGGCUAGCGUUAUCCGGAUUUACUGGGCGUAAAGGGUGCGUAGGCGGGAAUGCAAGUCAGAUGUGAAAACUCCGGGCUCAACUUGGAGAUUGCAUUUGAAACUGUGUUUCUUGAGGGCAGGAGAGGAAAGUGGAAUUCCUAGUGUAGCGGUGAAAUGCGUAGAUAUUAGGAGGAACACCAGUGGCGAAGGCGACUUUCUGGACUGUACCUGACGCUGAGGCGCGAAAGCGUGGGUAGC